UACGUAGGGUGCAAGCGUUAAUCGGAAUUACUGGGCGUAACGCGUGCGCAGGCGGCUUUGCAAGACAGAUGUGAAAUCCCCGGGCUUAACCUGGGAACUGCAUUUGUGACUGCAUGGCUGGAGUGCGGCAGAGGGGGAUGGAAUUCCGCGUGUAGCAGUGAAAUGCGUAGAUAUGCGGAGGAACACCGAUGGCGAAGGCAAUCCCCUGGGCCUGCACUGACGCUCAUGCACGAAAGCGUGGGGAGCAAACAGG
This 253-nucleotide ribosomal RNA is filed under the name uncultured bacterium. Its description in RNAcentral is "partial 16S ribosomal RNA". It matches the Rfam family "Bacterial small subunit ribosomal RNA", at positions 524 to 776 of the family's 1533-position model. The record is from RNAcentral.